This is a long non-coding RNA of Capra hircus (goat), 2516 nucleotides long. RefSeq lists it as uncharacterized. The transcript is spliced from 2 exons. The record is from RefSeq and is a predicted model, not a curated record. NCBI's taxonomy places the organism in Eukaryota, Metazoa, Chordata, Mammalia, Artiodactyla, Bovidae.
UGGGGGCGGCGAUGGUGAGGGAGGGGAGGAGCCGGGACGUGUCCAGGCUGGAAGGGAGGCCUGACUAGCAUUGUGUCCGGGGAGGCCUGUGACCUCCAGGUGUCCAGCCCUCCAGGUGCACCCGAAUGCAGAGGGGCACGUCCUUCCUCAGGCAAGGCCACAGCCUUCCCGGGACGGUCCGUGAGAUGGUUUGUGGUGCAUGAUUCCAUAGAACAGAGCACAGCCCGUGGAGGGUGCACCUCCGGACCACGCGUGUUAGCAAAGAGCACAGGUGCUUUUUUAUCCAAACCAUGGCUGCCACCCCUUCUGCUUGGUGCAUACUUUGAGAAUCCAGCAUUCUGGAGUAGAGGCUUAAUUAAAAAAAAAAAAAUUUUUUUUUCCAAGAAAAGUCACCACAUCUUGCCAUUUUAUGGUGGGACACAGGAGAUCUGAAGUACAGGGGAAAAAUACAUACCAAUUUUUCGAACACAGCUCCUUCAAGUUCAAGUGGAAAAUGAUUGAAGAUUUUUUAGGAAAAGAGAGAGAUCUCCACAGGAGGAUUAAAAAAAGAAAGAAGAGAGAUAGGGGAAACCCAACUCCAGAAAGGAGAAAAAUGACUGCCUGAAAGACACAUAAAGGAGAGGCCUGUCGUUGCCGAAGCUCUCCGGGAAAAAUGGCCAGGAUGGCUUCGGGGUGACUGGCCCUGGCUGCUGGGGAGGGUCCAGCCGAGUUCUUGAUUUCUCUGAUGGCACUUUGCAGGGCACAGACAGCUGAAGCCUGUGUACCAGGGCUGUGCUCUUCAGGGCAGAUCUUCAACCCGGAAGACAAAGAAAACCUCCGCCGGGUGUGGUGGGGUAGGGGGUGUUUAAAGCCAGGGAGACGCGACAAGACGCAGACUGGAGGGGGCAGGGCCGUCUCCGGGAGGGGAGGGGGGAGCCGCUACCUCUCCUAAUCGAGAUUAAUGGCUUGCUCAGGCGAGCGGCUGCAAACCUGCCAAAUGUGCUGACCGCCUGAAAUUAGCAAAGGUGGUGACUAAGGAAGGAAGGAAAAAUGUACAACGCGCCGGGUCCGAGUGAGCCUCACUCAUCCCGGCCUGACAUAUGACAAAUGGAAUUAACGGCGACACAGAGCGCGCAACAAGUUUUAGACAGCACCCGCCGAGGGGAUGUGAUUGAUCUCCGAGGAGGCUUCUGCGGUUGUUGAUGAGACCUUGGGAGCACGACAGAUGCCCGCAUUUGCACAAGUAUCCCCCCCCGCCCCGCCCCAAUCCCACUCACACACGCAGUACAGCCGGGCGCACACGGCUGCGUGGGCUCAGUCACGUCUCUUUUAACCGGGACAGAGUGAGUGUCCCCAGAAAUGAGAACGGAUCGUCCUGGACUCCGGCGAAACUCGCCUCGAGCGUCACACUCCAUUCCGGUCACCACCUUAUAAAAAUGUUAUUAAUCAAACAGCUGAGCGGCAUGAGGAGACGCACAGAAGCUGAUUCUCAGACUUGAAAGUCUGAGCGCCCUUAAAAGGGCUGCAUUUGUACAGCUUGCGGGGGGAGAAACAGAAGGGGAAAGAAGAGGAGAAGAAACUCCAUGAAAAGUAUUCAGGACCUGAAAUACUUGUGGGGAAGAUGAAUCUAUUACGGCAAAAUAGCAAAAGUCAGAGGCGAUAUUAGAGGUAGAUGUGAGUAGCUGGACAUUUCUUUCAAAAAACCGAUUAUAGAGAGCAAAAGAUAUGUACACAAACUGUAACCAAACCAAAACAAAAACACAAACCAAUGGCAAAAACAUCUCAGUGCUUUCCUGCGACACAACGGAAAUAACAGACUAGCAUCAGUGUGCCCACUGGGGCAGAUUCCCUAAUUGUGUUUCUCUCUGAAAUUCACAGUAAUAUUCGUACAUUUGAUUUUUUUUCUCCAUUUCUAAAGACAAAUUCAAUGGUGAGUCAAAAUCUUUUUUUAAAAAUAGAUGCCUUUAAGAAAAACCAUAUGGAAUGAUGGUAUUUUCUCCUAUCUUAUGACUGAUAAACUACACAGGAAGGUUUUGUUUCAUCCUGAGACCUGUUAGCUAGCACUGAUUAGUGCCUUUUAAUAAGACUUCUUUUUCUUAUCCUUUUUUAACAUAUUGUUUUAAGAAGUUGAGACCACAAGAAAACGCAAGAUUACAAGAAGACAUAAAACCUGUCAUUCUGAAUCCAUGUCAACGGGAGGGUCUCGUAACCAGAAGCACCAAGAGAUGCGGCUGAACAGUGACGUCCUCUGCAGCGUUCCCCCUCCACAGUGAGGUACUAACCAGACAGCCCUCCCCGGGAGACAGGCAGCCAUGUUCCCAAGUCAGGACAUCCCGCUCCAUCUGCGUUGCCAAGCAUUGAUGCCACUGCAUGUUGGGCCCUGCGCUGGCUGGUGGCCUGGGGUUCAAAGAGGAUGAGACCAGUCCCCUUCACAAGGACCUGACUGUCUACCAGUGGAAAUGAUGGCUCUGAUGCUGUUGUAACAACUACUAUUUGUUCAGUCACUACUGCAUAAAUUCUUCACAGACUUCUUUAAA